Oreochromis niloticus (Nile tilapia) is the source of this 3562-nucleotide long non-coding RNA. RefSeq lists it as uncharacterized. NCBI's taxonomy places the organism in Eukaryota, Metazoa, Chordata, Actinopteri, Cichliformes, Cichlidae. The transcript has 3 exons. The record is from RefSeq and is a predicted model, not a curated record.
AAAAAAAAACCUUUAAAAAUACAAGAUAAAUAAUUGGUUCUCUUAUAUUUUUUUUUAUUUUUUACAUACAGAAUAAUUAGCUAGUUCAGUUACAGAGCCAAUGCAUAACACCACCCACCUCAAAGUGCUUUAUAUCAUCAGCUAGGCCAUACAAUACCAGAGAGAAGUCCAAAAAUCACUCCCAUUUAAUAGGAAGAACCAUUCAGCAGAACCAAGCUCUUAGGUUAAAGAAAAAACAUAAAAGAGGAAGAACGAUCAACAAAACACAGACUACAGGAGAGAGAGGGCAUUGUUAAUGACGUUCAGCAGUGGCACAUAGACACGUGGAGAAGAAAUGCUGUGUCCAUCAUGGGAAGGCCUCCAACAGACUGAUGUAAGAUGCAUAACUAAGUGAUGUUUCAAAAAGGAACACUUUAAGGCUAACCUUAAAAACACAGGGGACGUCUGUCUCCUGAAUCCAAAGUGUAAAUGGUUCUACAAAGGAACCUGAGACUUGAAGGCUCUGCCUCGCAUUCUACUUUUAGAGGCUCUAGGAACGACAAGCAAGCCUGUAGUCGUUGAUCAAAGUGCUCUACUGGGAUAAUAUGGCACAGUGAGAUCUGUAAGUUAUCAUGGCACAUGAUAAUUCAAAACUUUGUAUCUCAGGAGAAAGAUUUUAACAUUAGAACCACCUGUGUAAUACUGUGUAGCUGACCUACCAUAGAUGAACACAAGACUUUGACAGUGAAUUCUUUCAGGAGGUUGGAGCGUUCAUGGAUUGUUGUCAGCAGUUUGUGCCGUUAACACAAGGGACGCUUCACAGUCACAGUAACAAUAAAUGCCAGAACCAUAGACUGCAUAUAAAACAUGAAUGUAGCUUUGGCGUUUGGAAAGUGAAGCCAGUAAUUCAGCUUUCAGUAUUCCUGAUGGCCGUGAGGAGGGAACUCAUUUGGUUUCGAAAAUAAUUCUUCUUCUAUGGAAGUCUGGAAAACAAAGACUUUGAUCCACAACCUCAGGAAACACUUUCCUGAUGAAUUCGUGGCCAGAGUCACUAGUUUCAAGUCUUAUUUAAUACAAUGUGACUUUCAUUGUAUAAAUUAUGUUCUCCUUUGUGUAACUGACAACUUGCAAGCCUUUGAGCGUGUGCCUCAAUUAAACAGUGAAAUCCACACUCACUUGUCACAUCCCAGAUUCAACAUGUCUAGACUGUCACGGCAAAAGUGCACAGCUUGAGGCUUCAUAACAAGUUUUUGCAAACUAAUGGAUGGACUCACAACAGUGACAGUCUGUGGCAUAAUGUUGCUUUCUAAAGAUAUGACCGGUGUUUUCUUUUGGCUUUUUUUUUAUAUAUAUAUUUUUCUCAUUUUUUUCUGAAUUACAAUAUAUGAGAUUAUUUUCUUGUUCAUCCCAUAAGAGCACUCAGUUUCAUAACAAGAAACCGAGGGUUCUUCAUGUCUGGUUCAGACAUGAAAUUAACCAAAACAUUGGUCCAACUCAUGCAUUUGCCACAACAAAGAAGGCAGAUGUUGUAAAUUCUCCUCAGCAUCAACUCCACAUGCCAUCGUCCCUAUUCUUCAUCUCAUUACUUGGCAUAUAUAAUCUCUGGUCGUACUGUGGCUUUUUGGGGCAGGGAGACAGAGUGAACUAUAAAGGGUUUUAUACAAGCUGAGGAGUGGAGUUAAACUGGAAGGCAGUCUGCAUGUUUGUAUGGAAACAAUUCUUUCAUGAGUUGCAAUUCUGUUUGAUUCCAGAUGUAAAAAGCCACAGGGAGAGAAAGAUGCAUAUCAGUCUUGACACCUAAAUCCAGGAUGAUGCUGCACUUGAAGUGCUAUCCUAACCUCACCGAAAAGACUACAUUUAGCAAAAGUAUUCUCUGUGCAUUUCUUUUCCUAAGCAAUAAUGAUUCUGAACAAGCAGGAUAGAAAUUCUUCCAGUUAUAUUAAAGGAUCCACAUACUUUUUUGGGGAAGAAAAGAUUUUCCCACACAACCAUCUCUGGGGAUUAAAAAGAGGAACAUAUGCAGUGAGCAGCAGUCCUUUGAGUAAAAAUGCCUUGUUGAUGUCAGAGGAGAAUGGCGAGACUGCUUCAAGAUAAUAGGAAAGCAGAAAUAACUCAAAUAACCACUCAUAUCAACCAAGGUGUGUAGAAAGACAUCUCUGAAUAACACAUUGAAUCCUGUAGCAGAUGGUCUACAACAGCAGAAGACUACAUCAGGUCCCACUCCCGUCAACUAAGACAGCACAGGCUCACCAAAAUUGGAAAUUAGAAGACUGGAAAAACAAUAUGAGCAACAUUCAGAAGGGAAGCACGUUUUCUUUCUGGCUGCUUCUCUGUGGUCUGACCAGGAACUAACUCAUCCUUAUUCUAGAAAGUGAACCACAACAUGUGGCAACAGAGCCCACAAACAUGAGCUCAUUCCUCUUGAGGGGAAACUAGCAACUGAAAAAAACAGAGAUAGAAAGAGAGAAAGUCCCAGUGUUCCUCUCCACAUCCAUUUGUCUUUGGACUACAUUCCUGCUCCUCUUCCUCAAAUGAAAUGGUUAUCCCUGCAAACAAUGAGAAGACUGAGCUGCAGGAGCAUCUGCAGCAUGUGAAGUGGGACAUGAAACAAAAAUUGGCUCACAAGGUCGAGGUCAACUUCAGCAUCAGCACAUUCUUUGAGCCAAGGCGUUGGAGAGAAAGCAGGCGCGAACUGAAAAUGGCCCUAGUCUCUUCCUAACAUGCUUUUAUUUCCCACAUACUUCGUGAUCAGCAGGCCUCAGUAUGUUAUCAGGUAAUACUGAGACAAACAGCUGCUUACGUGCUGAAAUGUGGAUGUAUUAUUUGAGAAAAGCAUUACACAUGAAUCAGAAGAACAAUACAUUUUGACCAAUAGGCUAACAAUUAAAGUAAACUCAUCAGUAUUAAAAAUACAGCUGGAAAGGUGAACUGUUCCUACUUUAAGAGCAAGUGCAAGUGCAGGCAGAUAUGUUGCAAAAUGUAUUUACCAUCAUAAUUAAAUACAAAAAAAGAAUGUGCAGAAAAAAUCUGAACUCUAAACUCACACCUAUGAUAUUAAUUUAAAAAUCAUAGUUGACCUUUUCGAGUUAUUGUAACAAAAAAAGGAAAAAAGUCUUUUCUGUGGCUAAGUCCUCAAUUUUCCUUUAUUCCUUGUAAUGUUGUCAGUCUCCAUAUGAGUCACGUUGACCACGUGCUGUGUGCUUCAUGCUUUGCUCUGGAAUGUCAGGUUUCAAAUAGCAUGUACCCGAUAUUGCCUUGCCAUGCCAUGCCAGAGAUAUAAGAUUGUGUGUAACUGUAAAAUCAAAUGACUAUUAUUUAUUUGCAAUAAAAUAACAUAAAACACACACCAAAGUACACACAGGACUUUUUAUUAGUAAGUUACAAUGCGGACACAUGCACUGCCAAGGACAUUUAAAAAAAAAAAUAAUACUAUGACAUUUCAUCAUGUUUCAGUUAAACAAGUUAAGAAUCAAGCAGUUAAGUAAGAAAAGAUUUUUUCUGUUUAUAACAAUUAGAACAUGUAUGAUUGAACACAGAAGAAACAUGCACUUUACUGCACUGCAACAUAGAAAAUUAUCCUAAG